UCUAUCAGAUCCAGGAGACGAACCGCCCCCCAGCACCUCCCUGCCCCUGUUCUGUUCCCACGCGAGAGGUGAGCCGUCAGGCGGCCACGGCCAGGGCUGUUGCCAUCCCCUGCUCCACGAUCCGAUGUGUGCACGGCGGCGCAGACCGCCGCCGACGGGACUAAUCCAUCCCCGCUCACUUUGGUUCUGAUCCCUGCAGUCGGCAGCGGGCAGCACACAUUGAUUCAGUUUGAAACCAACAACCCACAGAUUCAGCUCGGCAGCCUUGGUGGAGGCGACAUGGUCAGCACAAGGUCCAUGAGUCUUCGUAACGAGGGAAACAUGGAAAGGGCGCUGGCCAGUGGCAAGGACCGCAUCAGCGCCCUCCCCGAUGAGCUCCUCCAGCAUGUGAUGUCCUUCUUGCUCUCCCGCGACGCCGUGCGCACAUGCUUGCUCGCUAGGCGCUGGAGCAUGCUCUGGAAGUCCGUGCCUGCCCUACGCAUCGUGGAUGACCUUGCGACUGACUCCUACAAGUUCGUGGAUGAGCUGCUGCGCCUCCGUAACCCGGCGCCAUUGAACGUAUGUGACAUCUGUGAUGCGUACGAGGAUUCGGAUACAGAGGAUCCGUUAGCUUUUUGCGAGGAGGCAUCCGAUCGCAUUGCGCCGUGGCUCCGGUAUGCUUUGUUGCAUCAAGUUCGGGUGCUACGAGUCACUGCUCCUGUCUUCCCAACCGACCUGGUUCUCGUCUCUUCACACCUGAAGAGGAUAGAGCUUUGUCACAUGCAGUUUGAAGAGACUCUGGAUCUUUCGAGUUGCCAGGUGUUAGACGUGUUAGAUAUGACAGAUUGUAACAUCUAUGCGAGUAUCUUUUGCCAGUCAUUACGACACCUUAACAUGAAAGGUGGAUGUUUUGACAAUGAAAUCCGCCUUCAUAUUUCUGCCCCAAAUCUCGUUAGCUUGAAACUAGCUCCAGAGUCAGGCUUGACUCCAUUGCUUGAUAGCAUGCCAUCACUGGUAACAGCAUUCUGUCGAAUCUUCCGAAGAGGAGUUUCAUCACUGUUUUACUCUACCAUCAUGUGAUGAAGGAUGCACUAGGGAAGAAACAUUUUCUGUGGUUUUGGAAGGCUUGUCUGCUGCUACAAACUUAGAGUUAACAAGUGAUGAUCUGUUAUCUGUUGUCAGAAUGGAUUUGAAGUGGUCCCCCAUGUUUAGCAAACUAAAAACGUUGUUGCUGAAUAAAUGGUGUGUGGCUGGUGAUUUCACUGGAUUGGUUUACUUUCUCCAGCACUCACCAAUUCUAGAGACACUCACGCUACAACUUAAUAUUCCAACUCAUAAGAAACAACGUGUGAAUGAAGCAGAUGAAAGAUAUGCCCCAAAGAAGCAAUCAUUACUACCGAAGCAUCUCAAAAUAGUCAAAAUCAUAUGUGGCAUGAUGAAGGACGAUGCUAGAGUUUACCGUGUUUUGAAGUUGCUUUGUGCUCAUGGAAUGCCUUCUGAGAAAAUUGACAUCCAAUAGAACCCUCUUCUGCUAUUCGACUGCUUCUAUAUCGAGCUGCGGGUGGGGACUUACAGCUGUGCUGGUCUACUUCAUCCUCCAUUACCUACGCCCCCGAACCACAUCAUGAAGUUGCUGUGUUUUGUCUACCGGACCAGGAUCUCGCCCUUGGUGCUCAUGCCCGUGUCCCAUAUUCAUAUGAACUCGUACGUAAACUGCUGUAUGUCCUGAUUUGAUGCAGCUGGAGCAUGUCGUUGCAGUGUCAUCGUAAUUCUGCAAGUUCAGUUUUGCUCGUUUCCUGAAGUUUCCCCUCGCAAGGCCUGUAUUUUGCCAAGAUGCUUCAUCUAGCUUUGUUCCAGAUCACGCUAGGUUCUUUACAGAUGUGUUAUACUGUAACCCGUCUCGUGUUAACGGAAAAUCGUUUUCCAGAUGUACUCCCUCUGUAAACUAAUAUAAAAGCGUUUAGAUCACUAUUUUAAUACUCUAAACACUCUUAUAUUAGUUUACCGAGGGAGUAUAUGUCUGGCAUAUGUUGCACCUUUCAGCAACAGGCCUCACUCGA
Long non-coding RNA from Triticum aestivum (bread wheat), 2039 nucleotides. RefSeq lists it as uncharacterized. NCBI's taxonomy places the organism in Eukaryota, Viridiplantae, Streptophyta, Magnoliopsida, Poales, Poaceae. The transcript has 5 exons. The record is from RefSeq and is a predicted model, not a curated record.